GAUGAACGCUGGCGGCGUGCCUAAUACAUGCAAGUCGAGCGAACAGACGAGGAGCUUGCUCCUCUGACGUUAGCGGCGGACGGGUGAGUAACACGUGGAUAACCUACCUAUAAGACUGGGAUAACUUCGGGAAACCGGAGCUAAUACCGGAUAAUAUAUUGAACCGCAUGGUUCAAUAGUGAAAGACGGUUUUGCUGUCACUUAUAGAUGGAUCCGCGCCGCAUUAGCUAGUUGGUAAGGUAACGGCUUACCAAGGCAACCAUGCGUAGCCGACCUGAGAGGGUGAUCGGCCACACUGGAACUGAGACACGGUCCAGACGCCUACGGGAGGCAGCAGUAGGGAAUCUUCCGCAAUGGGCGAAAGCUUGACGGAGCAACGCCGCGUGAGUGAUGAAGGUCUUCGGAUCGUAAAACUCUGUUAUUAGGGAAGAACAAAUGUGUAAGUAACUAUGCACGUCUUGACGGUACCUAAUCAGAAAGCCACGGCUAACUACGUG
Molecule: ribosomal RNA, 497 nt
Filed under: uncultured bacterium
Lineage: Bacteria
Description: partial 16S ribosomal RNA
Rfam family: Bacterial small subunit ribosomal RNA
Source: RNAcentral